RNAcentral lists this ribosomal RNA (254 nucleotides) under uncultured bacterium. Its description in RNAcentral is "partial 16S ribosomal RNA". It matches the Rfam family "Bacterial small subunit ribosomal RNA", at positions 524 to 776 of the family's 1533-position model. The record is from RNAcentral.
UACGUAGGGUGCGAGCGUUUGUCCGGAAUUAUUGGGCGUAAAGAGCUCGUAGGUGGCGGGUCACGUCGGGUGUGAAAGCCCGGGGCUUAACUCCGGGUCUGCAUUCGAUACGGGUCUGCUGGGGUCCGGCAGGGGAGACUGGAAUUCCUGGUGUAGCGGUGAAAUGCGCAGAUAUCAGGAGGAACACCGGUGGCGAAGGCGGGUCUCUGGGCCGGUACCGACGCUGAGGAGCGAAAGCGUGGGGAGCGAACAGG